RNAcentral lists this ribosomal RNA (253 nucleotides) under uncultured bacterium. RNAcentral describes it as "partial 16S ribosomal RNA". It matches the Rfam family "Bacterial small subunit ribosomal RNA", at positions 524 to 776 of the family's 1533-position model. The record is from RNAcentral.
UACGGAGGUGGCUAACGUUGUUCGGAUUCAUUGGGUGUAGAGGGUAUGUAGGUGGCCUUGCAAGUCGGAUGUGAAAUCCUUUAGCUUAACUAAAGAACUGCAUUCGAAACUGCUUGGCUUGAGUUUGGGAGAGGAAAAUGGAAUUCCCGGUGUAAGAGUGAAAUCUGUAGAUAUCGGGAGGAACACCAGUUGCGAAAGCGAUUUUCUGGCCUAAAACUGACACUGAAAUACGAAAGCUAGGGGAGCAAACAGG